RNAcentral lists this transfer RNA (72 nucleotides) under Ameiurus melas (black bullhead). It matches the Rfam family "tRNA". From Rfam's summary of the family: Transfer RNA (tRNA) molecules are approximately 80 nucleotides in length. Lineage: Eukaryota; Metazoa; Chordata; Actinopteri; Siluriformes; Ictaluridae. The record is from Rfam by way of RNAcentral.
GCCUUGUUAGCGCGUAGGUAGUGCAUCAGUCUCAUAAUCUGAAGUGCGUGAGUUCAAUCCUCACAUAGGGCA